GGGAUCUGCCCGAUAGAGGGGGAUAACCACUGGAAACGGUGGCUAAUACCGCAUAACGUCGCAAGACCAAAGAGGGGGACCUUCGGGCCUCUCACUAUCGGAUGAACCCAGAUGGGAUUAGCUAGUAGGCGGGGUAAUGGCCCACCUAGGCGACGAUCCCUAGCUGGUCUGAGAGGAUGACCAGCCACACUGGAACUGAGACACGGUCCAGACUCCUACGGGAGGCAGCAGUGGGGAAUAUUGCACAAGUGGGCGCAAGCCUGAUGCAGCCAUGCCGCGUGUAUGAAGAAGGCCUUC
Molecule: ribosomal RNA, 297 nt
Filed under: uncultured Pantoea sp.
Lineage: Bacteria; Pseudomonadati; Pseudomonadota; Gammaproteobacteria; Enterobacterales; Erwiniaceae
Description: partial 16S ribosomal RNA
Rfam family: Bacterial small subunit ribosomal RNA
Source: RNAcentral